Molecule: non-coding RNA, 48 nt
Filed under: Schistosoma curassoni
Lineage: Eukaryota; Metazoa; Platyhelminthes; Trematoda; Strigeidida; Schistosomatidae
Source: RNAcentral
AUCUAGUUGACGAGUUUCAAAUAGGAUGAAAUGCGCAUCAAACUGGAU